This 301-nucleotide ribosomal RNA is filed under the name uncultured bacterium. RNAcentral's name for it is "partial 16S ribosomal RNA". It matches the Rfam family "Bacterial small subunit ribosomal RNA", at positions 509 to 807 of the family's 1533-position model. The record is from RNAcentral.
CAGCAGCCGCGGGAAUACGAAGGGGGCUAGCGUUGUUCGGAAUUACUGGGCGUAAAGGGCGCGUAGGCGGCCAUUCAAGUUAGAUGUGAAAGCCCUGGGCUCAACCUAGGAAUUGCAUUUGAUACUGUUUGGCUUGAGUUCGGGAGAGGUGAGUGGAAUUCCCAGUGUAGAGGUGAAAUUCGUAGAUAUUGGGAAGAACACCAGUGGCGAAGGCGGCCCACUGGACCGACACUGACGCUGAGGCGCGAAAGCGUGGGGAGCAAACAGGAUUAGAUACCCCAGUAGUCCCUGUCUCUUAUAC